Salvelinus sp. IW2-2015 is the source of this 4005-nucleotide non-coding RNA. The record is from RefSeq and is a predicted model, not a curated record. NCBI's taxonomy places the organism in Eukaryota, Metazoa, Chordata, Actinopteri, Salmoniformes, Salmonidae.
GUUGCAGCUAAUAGUCCUUAUGUUGCAGCUAAUAGUCCUUAUGUUGCAGCUAAUAGUCCUUAUGUUGCAGCUAAUAGUCCUUAUGUUGCAGGUAAUAGGAAUCUGCAGCACUUGUCAUCAGGCUUUUACAGUAGCAUCAGUUAAAGCAUAGGCUUUCUCCAGGAGAGAAAUCCGCUGCAUACUCUGUAAUUAGGUAACAGCACUUUCAUCGCCUUGCUAAUAGUGCAGACUCCAAGACAUGGAGUUCAUGUAAACACAAGCCUUGUGUGUGUGCCUGAUUCAUUCCAGACAGUUGAGUGUGACUGUAACGGUGGUAGGUGGUUAGAGAGUGGGGCUAAGUAGUGGAGGGGGAAGAGGAGGAGUGGAUGGAGGAGUGAAAGAGGGGUUGGGGGGGUCUAUGAUGGGGGUCAGGAGAGGCUUUUCAUUCAGGGAGCUGUGCAUCUGUCCUUGCAGGCAGCAGCCUUUGUGCCGGAGUUCAGAGUGUGAGUGUUAGUGUGAGUGUGUGUGCGUAAGUGUGUGUGUGUGUGUGCGCGCGUGCGUGCGUGCGUGUGUGCGUGCGUGCAUGUUUGAGCUCAACUGAGUGAGCGUCUGCCAGCCGGGGGAGUGUAGGGGGGGUAGUGUAUUCAGGGGGAGAUGAGGAUCAUGGCCAUCCACACAGCCACCAGCGCGGUAGAAUUCAUGUCAUGUCUGCAGUCUGGCUGCAGCUGCCUGAUCAGGGCCGAUUCAGCGGUGAAUGGAGGCGAAAUCUGUGACUGCCAGCUGUCCCUCCAUUGACUCUCUCAGGGAUCGUUUUGUCUAGAGGUCCUACUGCCUCCCGUGGCUCAUUCAUCUGCCCUGAUCUGGGGAUGAGAUGCACGCCACCUCUCCUCUCCUCCUAUCAGCCCCUAUCUUCUCUCUCUCAAAUAGCCGCAAGGGGACGAGGUGACACAGCGAGAGAAGGAGCCAGAACCCCUCCCCCUCUCUCCACCACAACAUGUGACCUUUCUUCUUUUCAUCCCUCUAUCCUCAUUAAUUACAUCGCCUGGCUUUGGCACCGUGGCGAAAAGGACCUGUGUUAUUUACUUAGUCUCCACAAGCAGCUGGCGAAGAGCCAGCCAGAAAGCAGCACCAAAACCCUUCCUGCAGUUCAUACCUUAGAUAAACUGAUGUGAAUCCCUCGUCAGACAGAUCUUGUUGGAGCCAGCCAGCAUCCUCUAACAGAGGCCGCCCCAUGCGGUGUAGAGUGCCUCUGGAGCAGGCCAUGGAGAGGCAGGGGACAGGGGAUACAUAAUGGGACCAUGGCGGAUACGCUGGGAGUUUGUUUUCAGACCAACAUGCACCAUUUGGAGUAGCGUGAUAAUGACUGUGUGGUACAGGGACCAUGACGAGAACCGUACUGGAUUUUUUGUUGUGUUCCUCCUCAGUCCUUCCCCCCAGGAAACACCUGAAGGAACCAAUGUGUGUCUAUGUGUGGCAGGGUUUUAGUUCCUUGUGAUGAUGUCUGGAGAGAACUGCACCAUAAACUUUACAGUACAAUGUCUUCAUUAGCAAAAAAAAUGAAUAAACCAGGUAACCUGUUUCUGAACUGGAAGGGGGCUUCCCUCUUAGAUAUCAAUGGUAGGAGAAGACAUAUGAAGAGAGAUGGUUCUACUACAACCCGAGGCCUUUAAGAGUCCAUACAGCAACACUGUUUUCUUUCUUCUGUUACACAUAAGUAGAAGUUCCUCAACACUAUUGGAAGGACACCGUGUGAGAAGAAAAUAAUCCAGCAACAACAUCCAACCUCCAUCUAAAAGUGAACUGCAAUCAAGGUUUUAGACAUACGGCAUGUGUCCUAGUGUUAAAAAAGUGAUUGCCAGUAUUUUGUACUUUUAAUAGGCACCUUUUAUUGGUUAGCAUAGACAAAGUAUGGCAGAGUUCACCAUUCCUGACGAAACAGGUGAAAUUAUAAAUGCAGAUUCAGCAAAAAUGUAUUGGCUCACAAAUUGAAUGGGUAUUUCAGCUCUUGAUCAUGCACAUGAUCUGUCUGGCUAUAAUAUUAGCAGUCAACAAACCUAAAGUACCGUGCAGUGUAAACAGACACAUCCUAUGGUAAUGGAACCAAUACUGAAUUCAACACCAGCAGUAAAAAUUAGACUCAGGACUAAACUAACAGCUUACUGUGGAACAACUCCUAUUUCUAAUGUGCUGUGUAUGUCUGUGUAUUAGAUCAUGCAUCAACCCAAAAAAUUGGUAGCUGCAAGAAAAUGUGAUACUGCUAAGUAAUACAUUUUCAGAUUCAAUCUUUGAAAGUACCAUGUGUUUCAAUCAUUCAGGUGCAUUUAAGUAUAAAUAAAAUAUUUAUUUAAUUACAUUAAACAAACAAAACAUUCUUAAGCAAAAUGUGCAAAGGGAACACCCUUGAUCUAAACUAACCAGCAUUUUUUAUUAGAAUGAUUCUAGGCUCAUUUUCUUUCUUUAUUUCAUAUUUUAGAAAGAGAGCUAGAAAACGGGCUAGACAACUCACAGAUGGGCUUCAGCAAAUUAGUGUCAGAGUGAUAAAUGAAAAAAAGAUGGAGAGAAAUUAAGCUGGAUAAAAAUACCCAUCUGGUGGCACCUCCUACUCUGGGCCAGCCUUUGAUGAAUAGCAUUCCCUGAGAUGGAAAUACAAGGACAAAGCAAAUUUCAUAUAGCUGUUGGCCCCCGUCUCCUACUGCCUCCCACAUCACAAGUGUGGCACAGGAGCCCCUGCCAUACUGAGCAUGUCUGUCUGCAUGUCUGUCUCCAGCAACAGCGUCACGCAUGUGGCUGCCACCACGGCGACAAGGGGCCCCUCAGCAGGCCCAGUCCAGGGCUAUAGGGGUCAACAGGGGACACUCUCAGCCUCAGUGUCCUAGUAGGACUUAACUUACCAUUCCUUUAAACCACACCGACCUGACAACACAACAGCAGCACUGGGAGACCCGGCCUGCUGCACACAGAAGUAGCCAAAAUACGACCAUGAUGCCUCACAUUUUAGUACACAUUGUUUACAAGGUUUUAUGGUAUUAUAGACUGAGCUGAAUACAGAAUGUUUCCUCUGUUUUUCAUCUUCGCAGCAAGGGUUGUUUUGAUAUAUUUACAAUGUCAAAUAUGAUUUGUAAUCUAUUCACCAGCACGUUUCUGGUCUUAGUUAUGGCAAAUUGUAACAAAACAUAUUUCUGUGAUAUGAAAACAACAAUCUUAUUUAUCUGAAAAUAUGCUUGUGUUGAACUUUGAUUUCUCAACGUUAUUGUAGAACAGGGGAUAAUGGGGGUGUUUAAAUAUAUUUUAAUGUGCUACAAAUGCAUUGGAUCCAGCCUACACUCCAGAGUGUACUAGUCAGAACUGUCUAAUCAAAUAUAUUAGGCUCACCCCUAUUCAUCAUAUAUACUGUAUAUUGACAUACAUUUUAUGAUCUGCGUUGAUGAAUGUAAUUGGUCGAUAAGUAGUACCAAAAUUCUGACAUUGCAUUGAUAAUAGGUAUGCAUGUACAAAUAGUAAACGUCUCUGAAAUUGGAGUAACUGCACUUCAUAUCCCAUGCAACACCUUAUAAUUAAAAAAUAGGGGGAGAAUGAUGGUGAAAGUCAUUUAGAAAUAUGCAUCACUAUGCUAACAGAACAUAUUGCUAAUAUUGUCAUAUUGGAACCCCCUCUGCUGUGUAGACUGUUUCAUUCCUGCACUAUUCUUUAUGGAUUGGUGCACAACAAACAUUAUGUAUUUAUAUCAAUCAGUCAAUUGCAAUUCGAUAAAGCUCAUUUAUUCCGUGUGUAAAAUGGUUAAACAACUUACCAUCUCGUUCAUCUUAGUAUCACGUUUUACCAAUAAUUAGCAUUGCUUUAUAAAUGUAUAUGUAUGCUUUUUGUAGUGUGGUACAUUCAGCUGUUCUGACAGUGAGUAUGUGGAUAGAAAUAAAAGCACUUUGUUGUAAAUAUGUACGUAGAUCUGAGAGAUGUCAUUCUCAUUUUGGAUAGAGUUAUCAGUGUAGUGACUCUGCAUUACUGAAUAAACUGUUACAGUCAACGUUG